RNAcentral lists this ribosomal RNA (422 nucleotides) under uncultured bacterium. RNAcentral's name for it is "bacterial SSU rRNA". It matches the Rfam family "Bacterial small subunit ribosomal RNA", at positions 355 to 774 of the family's 1533-position model. The record is from RNAcentral.
UAAGGAAUAUUGGACAAUGGAGGCAACUCUGAUCCAGCCAUGCCGCGUGAAGGAAUAAGGCCCUAUGGGUUGUAAACUUCUUUUAGACGGGACAAAACCCCUUUACGUGUAAAGGGUUGAUGGUACUGUCAGAAUAAGCAUCGGCUAACUUCGUGCCAGCAGCCGCGGUAAUACGAAGGAUGCAAGCGUUAUACGGAAUUAUUGGGUUUAAAGGGUGCGUAGGCGGACUAAUAAGUCAGUGGUGAAAGCCUGCAGCUUAACUGCAGAAUUGCCAUUGAUACUGUUAAUCUUGAGUACAGUUGAGGUAGGCGGAAUGUGUCAUGUAGCGGUGAAAUGCUUAGAUAUGACACAGAACACCGAUUGCGAAGGCAGCUUGCUAAGCUGUAACUGACGCUGAGGCACGAAAGCGUGGGGAGCAAACA